This 484-nucleotide ribosomal RNA is filed under the name uncultured bacterium. Its description in RNAcentral is "partial 16S ribosomal RNA". It matches the Rfam family "Bacterial small subunit ribosomal RNA", at positions 30 to 507 of the family's 1533-position model. The record is from RNAcentral.
AUUGAACGCUGGCGGCAGGCCUAACACAUGCAAGUCGAGCGGAUGAAGGGAGCUUGCUCCUGGAUUCAGCGGCGGACGGGUGAGUAAUGCCUAGGAAUCUGCCUGGUAGUGGGGGAUAACGUCCGGAAACGGGCGCUAAUACCGCAUACGUCCUGAGGGAGAAAGUGGGGGAUAUUCGGACCUCACGCUAUCAGAUGAGCCUAGGUCGGAUUAGCUAGUUGGUGGGGUAAAGGCCUACCAAGGCGACGAUCCGUAACUGGUCUGAGAGGAUGAUCAGUCACACUGGAACUGAGACACGGUCCGGACUCCUACGGGAGGCAGCAGUGGGGAAUAUUGGACAAUGGGCGAAAGCCUGAUCCAGCCAUGCCGCGUGUGUGAAGAAGGUCUUCGGAUUGUAAAGCACUUUAAGUUGGGAGGAAGGGCAGUAAGUUAAUACCUUGCUGUUUUGACGUUACCAACAGAAUAAGCACCGGCUAACUUCGUG